This 459-nucleotide ribosomal RNA is filed under the name uncultured bacterium. RNAcentral's name for it is "partial 16S ribosomal RNA". It matches the Rfam family "Bacterial small subunit ribosomal RNA", at positions 339 to 795 of the family's 1533-position model. The record is from RNAcentral.
CUACGGGUCGCAGCAGUGAGGAAUAUUGGUCAAUGGGCGCAAGCCUGAACCAGCCAUGCCGCGUGAAGGAUGACAGCCCUAUGGGUUGUAAACUUCUUUUGUACGGGAAGAAACACUUCUACGUGUAGAAGCUUGACGGUACCGUACGAAUAAGCAUCGGCUAACUCCGUGCCAGCAGCCGCGGUAAUACGGAGGAUGCAAGCGUUAUCCGGAUUUAUUGGGUUUAAAGGGUACGCAGGCGGGAAAUUAAGUCAGUGGUGAAAUCCUGCAGCUUAACUGUAGAACUGUCAUUGAUACUGGUUUUCUUGAAUGUAGUUGAGGUAGGCGGAAUGUGUAAUGUAGCGGUGAAAUGCUUAGAUAUUACACAGAACACCGAUUGCGAAGGCAGCUUACUAAGCUACUAUUGACGCUGAGGUACGAAAGCGUGGGGAGCGAACAGGAUUAGAUACCCGCGUAGUC